UACGUAGGGGGCAAGCGUUGUCCGGAAUCAUUGGGCGUAAAGAGCGUGUAGGCGGCCAGAUAAGUCCGCUGUGAAAUCUCGAGGCUCAACUUCGAGCUGUCGGUGGAAACUGUCUGGCUAGAGUACGGUAGAGGGGGAUGGAAUUCCCAGUGUAGAGGUGAAAUUCGUAGAUAUUGGGAAGAACACCGGUGGCGAAGGCGGCUCACUGGCUCGUAACUGACGCUCAUGCACGACAGCGUGGGGAGCAAACAGG
Molecule: ribosomal RNA, 253 nt
Filed under: uncultured bacterium
Lineage: Bacteria
Description: partial 16S ribosomal RNA
Rfam family: Bacterial small subunit ribosomal RNA
Source: RNAcentral